This is a long non-coding RNA of Jaculus jaculus (lesser Egyptian jerboa), 476 nucleotides long. RefSeq lists it as uncharacterized. NCBI's taxonomy places the organism in Eukaryota, Metazoa, Chordata, Mammalia, Rodentia, Dipodidae. The record is from RefSeq and is a predicted model, not a curated record. The transcript has 3 exons.
AGGAGUUGGUAUCAUUUGAAGACAUAGCUGUGGACUUCACCCGGCAAGAGUGGCAGGACCUGGAUGUUGCUCAGCGAAACCUCUACAGGGAUGUGAUGCUGGAGAACUACCACAGCCUGGUGUUCUUGAGGAGAGAGAGAAAGAAUGGCAUGCGAGGUCUUCUAGGUGCCAUAAGCCAACUCCAGAUGUAAGAGGGAGAUAUCAUCACUACAGCUUGUGGCAGCGAAGUAACCUAGGGUAUGGUGCAGAUCUUCUAUGUCUGCAUAUCUGCUGAUGCAGGUUGCACAACCACCUGGUUGCUAGGCACAAGUAUUUGCUGCUCAUCAGAGGUCUGUGCAUGCUGAAGAAUUGCACCUUGCUGAGUAUUGCCUGAAUUUACCAUGGGAACUGUAGGACCAAACCAGUUUUGAUUUUUAAGUUGGAGCAUGGAUUUGCACCAUGGAGUGUAGAAGAAAACUCAAUUCAGAGACUUCCAG